Molecule: small RNA, 378 nt
Filed under: Arabidopsis thaliana (thale cress)
Lineage: Eukaryota; Viridiplantae; Streptophyta; Magnoliopsida; Brassicales; Brassicaceae
Description: ATSL284600
Source: RNAcentral
AGAAAGAAAUUUUUGAGAGCUUUCUCUGAAACUGUGUGCAACUUAAUUUUGCAGGUUUUGUGCUUGUGUGAUCAAGUGGUUUUAUUAUUGAAGCCUAGACUCAAAGGAAAUUUAGCUCAGGGUUAGGUUAUCCUGAUUAAAUCUAGACUCAGAAGAAAUUUAGUUAAAGAUAGAGAUUAUCUUUAAGGUUUCCUGUUAAUAGAAGGGAGCGGUAAAUCAAGAGAGAUGUACUUGUUUUACGCGUUUUACAAAUUGGUUGUAAUUUGGUUUCUUAUUCUACUGAAAUCAAAUCUGGACUUUCUGAACCACGUUAACAAAAAAUUUGUCUCAUUUAUUUUGUGCAAUUUAUAUUACCUCAUCUGCACUUACAUAAUUCAU